RNAcentral lists this ribosomal RNA (1083 nucleotides) under Streptomyces sp. Its description in RNAcentral is "bacterial SSU rRNA". It matches the Rfam family "Bacterial small subunit ribosomal RNA", at positions 26 to 1140 of the family's 1533-position model. The record is from RNAcentral. Lineage: Bacteria; Bacillati; Actinomycetota; Actinomycetes; Kitasatosporales; Streptomycetaceae.
GGUUCCACCCCUGCAUGCCUUAACAUGCAGUCGACGAUGAAGCCGCUUCGGUGGUGGAUUAGUGGCGAACGGGUGAGUAACACGUGGGCAAUCUGCCCUUCACUCUGGGACAAGCCCUGGAAACGGGGUCUAAUACCGGAUAACACUCUGUCCCGCAUGGGACGGGGUUAAAAGCUCCGGCGGUGAAGGAUGAGCCCGCGGCCUAUCAGCUUGUUGGUGGGGUAAUGGCCUACCAAGGCGACGACGGGUAGCCGGCCUGAGAGGGCGACCGGCCACACUGGGACUGAGACACGGCCCAGACUCCUACGGGAGGCAGCAGUGGGGAAUAUUGCACAAUGGGCGAAAGCCUGAUGCAGCGACGCCGCGUGAGGGAUGACGGCCUUCGGGUUGUAAACCUCUUUCAGCAGGGAAGAAGCGAAAGUGACGGUACCUGCAGAAGAAGCGCCGGCUAACUACGUGCCAGCAGCCGCGGUAAUACGUAGGGCGCAAGCGUUGUCCGGAAUUAUUGGGCGUAAAGAGCUCGUAGGCGGCUUGUCACGUCGGAUGUGAAAGCCCGGGGCUUAACCCCGGGUCUGCAUUCGAUACGGGCUAGCUAGAGUGUGGUAGGGGAGAUCGGAAUUCCUGGUGUAGCGGUGAAAUGCGCAGAUAUCAGGAGGAACACCGGUGGCGAAGGCGGAUCUCUGGGCCAUUACUGACGCUGAGGAGCGAAAGCGUGGGGAGCGAACAGGAUUAGAUACCCUGGUAGUCCACGCCGUAAACGUUGGGAACUAGGUGUUGGCGACAUUCCACGUCGUCGGUGCCGCAGCUAACGCAUUAAGUUCCCCGCCUGGGGAGUACGGCCGCAAGGCUAAAACUCAAAGGAAUUGACGGGGCCCGCACAAGCAGCGGAGCAUGUGGCUUAAUUCGACGCAACGCGAGAACCUUACUAAGGCUUGACAUAUACCGGAAAGCAUCAGAGAUGGUGCCCCCUUGUGGUCGGUAUACAGUUGGUGCAUUGCUGUCGUCAGCUCGGUCGUGGAUGUGGUAGUUCCUGCACCGAGCGCAACCCAUCGUCUGUGUGCAGCAUGCCUCGGGUGAUGAGAC